GCGGAAUAUAGUAUGUAGCGGUGAAAUGCAUAGAUAUACUAUAGAACCCCGAUUGCGAAGGCAGCUUACUAAAUUGUUACUGACGCUGAGGCACGAAAGCGUGGGGAGCGAACAGGAUUAGAUACCCUGGUAGUCCACGCAGUAAACGAUGAUUACUCGAUGUUGGCGAUACACUGUCAGCGUCUGCGCGAAAGCAUUAAGUAAUCCACCUGGGGAGUACGAUCGCAAGGUUGAAACUCAAAGGAAUUGACGGGGGCCCGCACAAGCGGAGGAGCAUGUGGUUUAAUUCGAUGAUACGCGAGGAACCUUACCUGGGCUUAAAUGUAGUGUGCAUUAGCGAUGAAAAUCCUAUUUCUUUCGGGACCCACUACAAGGUGCUGCAUGGUUGUCGUCAGCUCGUGCCGUGAGGUGUCGGGUUAAGUCCCAUAACGAGCGCAACCCCUAUUCUUAGUUGCCAUCAGGUAAUGCUGGGGACUCUAAGAAAACUGCCGGCGCAAGCCGUGAGGAAGGUGGGGAUGACGUCAAAUCAGCACGGCCCUUAUGUCCAGGGCUACACACGUGCUACAAUGGUCGAUACAAAGGGCAGCUACACAGUGAUGUGAUGCUAAUCUUCAAAGUCGAUCCUAGUUCGGAUCGAAGUCUGCAAUUCGACUUCGUGAAGUUGGAUUCGCUAGUAAUCGUAUAUCAGCAAUGAUAGCGG
This 700-nucleotide ribosomal RNA is filed under the name uncultured bacterium. RNAcentral describes it as "bacterial SSU rRNA". It matches the Rfam family "Bacterial small subunit ribosomal RNA", at positions 661 to 1362 of the family's 1533-position model. The record is from RNAcentral.